CACAGGAAUUCGGGAGAAACCGGUGACAAUCCGGGGCCGAAGGAGCAGCCGCCCCGGCGAACUCUCAGGCAAAAGGACCGUUUUCCCCAA
Molecule: non-coding RNA, 90 nt
Filed under: Paracoccus sp. (in: a-proteobacteria)
Lineage: Bacteria; Pseudomonadati; Pseudomonadota; Alphaproteobacteria; Rhodobacterales; Paracoccaceae
Also listed under: 1 other name
Description: Paracoccus sp. Glycine sequence
Rfam family: Glycine riboswitch aptamer
About the family: This family represents the bacterial glycine riboswitch. Glycine riboswitches usually consist of two metabolite-binding aptamers domains with similar structures in tandem. The aptamers cooperatively bind glycine to regulate the expression of downstream genes.
Source: RNAcentral